Molecule: ribosomal RNA, 253 nt
Filed under: uncultured bacterium
Lineage: Bacteria
Description: partial 16S ribosomal RNA
Rfam family: Bacterial small subunit ribosomal RNA
Source: RNAcentral
UACGUAGGGGGCAAGCGUUGUCCGGAUUUACUGGGUGUAAAGCGCGCGUAGGCGGAACUUCAAGUCCGGUCUGAAAGCCCCCGGCUCAACCGGGGAGGGUGGCUGGAAACUGGGGUUCUUGAGGGCGAGAGAGGAGGGUGGAAUUCCUGGUGUAGCGGUGAAGUGCGUAGAGAUCAGGAGGAACACCCGGGGCGAAGGCGGCCCUCUGGCUCGACCCUGACGCUGAGGCGCGAAAGCGUGGGGAGCGAACGGG